This 77-nucleotide transfer RNA is filed under the name Oscillospiraceae bacterium. RNAcentral's name for it is "tRNA-Val". It matches the Rfam family "tRNA". Rfam says of the family: Transfer RNA (tRNA) molecules are approximately 80 nucleotides in length. Their secondary structure includes four short double-helical elements and three loops (D, anti-codon, and T loops). Further hydrogen bonds mediate the characteristic L-shaped molecular structure. tRNAs have two regions of fundamental functional importance: the anti-codon, which is responsible for specific mRNA codon recognition, and the 3' end, to which the tRNAs corresponding amino acid is attached (by aminoacyl-tRNA synthetases). tRNAs cope with the degeneracy of the genetic code in two manners: having more than one tRNA (with a specific anti-codon) for a particular amino acid; and 'wobble' base-pairing, i.e. permitting non-standard base-pairing at the 3rd anti-codon position. Lineage: Bacteria; Bacillati; Bacillota; Clostridia; Eubacteriales; Oscillospiraceae. The record is from RNAcentral.
GGACGAUUAGCUCAGCUGGUAUGAGCAUCCGCUUGACGUGCGGGAGGUCACAAGUUCGAGUCUUGUAUCGUCCACCA